Molecule: ribosomal RNA, 361 nt
Filed under: uncultured Streptococcus sp.
Lineage: Bacteria; Bacillati; Bacillota; Bacilli; Lactobacillales; Streptococcaceae
Description: bacterial SSU rRNA
Rfam family: Bacterial small subunit ribosomal RNA
Source: RNAcentral
CGGUACAUCGGUGGACAGGUGGUGCAUGGUUGUCGUCAGCUCGUGUCGUGAGAUGUUGGGUUAAGUCCCGCAACGAGCGCAACCCCUAUUGUUAGUUGCCAUCAUUCAGUUGGGCACUCUAGCGAGACUGCCGGUAAUAAACCGGAGGAAGGUGGGGAUGACGUCAAAUCAUCAUGCCCCUUAUGACCUGGGCUACACACGUGCUACAAUGGUUGGUACAACGAGUUGCGAGUCGGUGACGGCGAGCUAAUCUCUUAAAGCCAAUCUCAGUUCGGAUUGUAGGCUGCAACUCGCCUACAUGAAGUCGGAAUCGCUAGUAAUCGCGGAUCAGCACGCCGCGGUGAAUACGUUCCCGGGCCUU